Molecule: ribosomal RNA, 651 nt
Filed under: Bacillus cereus
Lineage: Bacteria; Bacillati; Bacillota; Bacilli; Caryophanales; Bacillaceae
Description: bacterial SSU rRNA
Rfam family: Bacterial small subunit ribosomal RNA
Source: RNAcentral
GCAAGUCGAGCGAAUGGAUUAAGAGCUUGCUCUUAUGAAGUUAGCGGCGGCCGGGUGAGUAACACGUGGGUAACCUGCCCAUAAGACUGGGAUAACUCCGGGAAACCGGGGCUAAUACCGGAUAACAUUUUGAACCGCAUGGUUCGAAAUUGAAAGGCGGCUUCGGCUGUCACUUAUGGAUGGACCCGCGUCGCAUUAGCUAGUUGGUGAGGUAACGGCUCACCAAGGCAACGAUGCGUAGCCGACCUGAGAGGGUGAUCGGCCACACUGGGACUGAGACACGGCCCAGACUCCUACGGGAGGCAGCAGUAGGGAAUCUUCCGCAAUGGACGAAAGUCUGACGGAGCAACGCCGCGUGAGUGAUGAAGGCUUUCGGGUCGUAAAACUCUGUUGUUAGGGAAGAACAAGUGCUAGUUGAAUAAGCUGGCACCUUGACGGUACCUAACCAGAAAGCCACGGCUAACUACGUGCCAGCAGCCGCGGUAAUACGUAGGUGGCAAGCGUUAUCCGGAAUUAUUGGGCGUAAAGCGCGCGCAGGUGGUUUCUUAAGUCUGAUGUGAAAGCCCACGGCUCAACCGUGGAGGGUCAUUGGAAACUGGGAGACUUGAGUGCAGAAGAGGAAAGUGGAAUUCCAUGUGUAGCGGUGAAAUG